This 1899-nucleotide long non-coding RNA is filed under the name Bemisia tabaci. RNAcentral describes it as "lncRNA ENSSSA1UGG011515". The record is from RNAcentral. Lineage: Eukaryota; Metazoa; Arthropoda; Insecta; Hemiptera; Aleyrodidae.
AUGCAUACUGUGACCUUAUUUGUGGGUACAAAAUCUUACCGGGUGGAUUACGCGGAACUUCUGCCUCUUCUGAGAGAUGAAAAUUUGGUGACUAUCGAUACCCAUGUCAAGUGUACAACAGUCAACGAUCUUUUGAAAGUAGUGCCAAAAAAAACACUCAGAGAAUUUUUAGAAAAACGAUUAAAAUUUGAGGUAACUGCGCCAGAGGGCAGUAAAGUCGUUGUAUUUACCACUUACCAACAAUCAGUGGAAGUAUAUGAAACUAGUAUCUCGCGGAAGUAUCCGAAUCUUCCAGCCGUAGAGUACGACGAGGACGGAUUUCCGCUGAAUAUCAGCCGUUUCACGCAAAAGCGGGUUGAGUUCGAAUUAGCCAAACAAGGGUUUGUGUAUAAUUAUAGCCGGUUGGACUAUGCGAGGGCAGCCCUAAGGCAGGUUAUUUUCAAAGGAGGUAAAACCCCAUCCCCCCCUCCAUCAGGACCGCGCACGCGAUCAACUCACGGUCAAGGGGAAAGUUUUCAGGAAGGUACACCUUCCCUCGAGCGUGCCCCCACCGAAGAGGACAACCCUGUCGGGAGAAAGGCGACCGAAACGCUAGGGCGGCUGAGUUUAGAAUCAUCCUUAGGUGGGCGGACCCUAGGCGAUUCGGGGAUCGUCAAUACACCUCGUUUCUCACCUGAGUGGUUGGGGGAAGGGACGUCGUUUCUGGCUGACCGAGAAACUAAGGUAACGAUCGAAAAUUCUAGGAUUUCGGAAAGCUCAGAGGACGAGGACGUUCAGGUAGAAACCCUAGACGAGACUGCGAUAGCGCGGCCAUUGGUCCAACCACUUUUUGACGUGGCCGUUCAGAUAGAGCAUCCUGCUCCUGACAUGGCAUUAAAUCAAGCAUUAAAUCCUUUAAAGUUAGGCAUCCCUCGAUUCAAGGGGGAUCCAAGUGAGGUGGAACCAUUCUUAUCUGAAAUCAACCGUCAGAAGCAAGUUAGGGCCUGGAAUGACGCCACCACGCGUCAAAAUUUUUGGCUCAGUCUGCUGGGCCCCGCGUUGGUCUGGUGGGAAGAAAAUGAAGGGACUCUGAACGAUAAAACGUGGGCUGAGAUACGACAAUUAUGUAAGGAUCGCUUUCAACCGAGCCCUGGAACAACAAGUUGGAGAAGAUAUCAGCAGAGAGUGCAACAGCCGGGGGAAGACGCGUUGACCUAUUUCGAGGACAAGAGUCGUCUAAAAAGAUUUACAACCAUUCCGGUAGAGGAGUUGGACGAAAUCGGAUUUAUUGUGGAUGGGUUACAAGAUGAUCUAAGAGCAAGAGUGAGACAGAGGGGAAACAAUAACACGCUGGUGGCGUUGCGAGAAAAUAUCCGCGAGUUAGAAUCAGUCAUGAGGCAAGAAGGCAAACUAGGGAUAGGAGGGGGGUGCGAUCCCAGUCAUUAUAAUAGACUUGAGUCUAUGAUGAUAAAUAUUCAGCAUGACAUUGAGUCCUUGAGAAGGACGAACUCCGAACCGCAGGCAUUGGGAGUAAAUCAAUUGCUUGUAGCCGCCUUGACUAAGCUGGCAACGGCGCCGUCCCAAAUAGGUAGCUCAGAGCCCACUUGUUACCGUUGCAGGGGACCUGGCCACUACGCAACUGCAUGUACAGUUCCUGAUCAUGCCCUACCAAAAGGGAAUUCCAAGGAAUGUUACCGUUGCGGAGACCAUGGACAUUUUGCCCGUGAAUGUGUUAAUUUAGGGCCUACAGCCUCCUCACGAAAUUUCAGACCUCCCAGUAGGGGUCCUUCUCGAGAUAGGUCCGCUGAGCGCCCAAGAUCAGCUCCAUUAACGUGUCAGUAUUGCUCCGGUCUGUCUCAUACAGCGUUAUCAUGCGAUAAAUUAAAAAGGGACAUGAUGGCAGCCGAGAAAAAAAACUAG